Long non-coding RNA from Macrobrachium nipponense, 468 nucleotides. RefSeq lists it as uncharacterized. The record is from RefSeq and is a predicted model, not a curated record. Lineage: Eukaryota; Metazoa; Arthropoda; Malacostraca; Decapoda; Palaemonidae. The transcript is spliced from 3 exons.
CCAUCCCCAAGUCGAGAGGCCUCGGAGACUGUGCAGCAACAGGAACAGGCCUGCCUCAGCUCAGUUUCGACUCACUCUAGUACAACAGUAUUCAUUCGCCUAGUCUCAUGAUAACAACUAAAGAACUGUUGUGUAUCACAGAGUAAUUGUUUGAUACAUUUCGUGUCAUGAAAGUUUACGAAACCACAUCACUGGAAACAUAAUUGCAUUCGUGUCAUCGAGAAAUAAGGAUAUUAUACGUUAACAAUGUGGCUUUGGAUCGUUGGAAUUAUUUCGGUUAUUGUGGCUGUUCGGGUCAUCUACCAAAGACAGUCUGGGGUUUGUCCUUCGAAAAGAUUAUUGGAUGGAAACAAAAACUGCAAUAGUCACUGGUUCUUCAGCAGGUAUCGGGAAGGAGACAGCGAGAGACUUGGCCCGCAGAGGCGCGCGUGUCAUCCUCGCUUGCAGAAAUGCAGCGAAAGCGCAGAG